GACGGGGGGGGCAAGUGUUCUUCGGAAUGACUGGGCGUAAAGGGCACGUAGGCGGUGAAUCGACCUUCGGAAAGGCAUAUCGGGUUGGGGUUGAAAGUGAAAGUCGCCAAAAACUGGCGGAAUGCUCUCGAAACCAAUUCACUUGGGUGAGACAGAGGAGAGUGGAAUUUCGUGUGUAGGGGUGAAAUCCGCAAAUCUACGAAGGAACGCCAAAAGCGAAGGCAGCUCUCUGGGUCCCUACCGACGCUGGGGUGCGAAAGCAUGGGGAGCGAACAGG
RNAcentral lists this ribosomal RNA (277 nucleotides) under uncultured bacterium. RNAcentral describes it as "partial 16S ribosomal RNA". It matches the Rfam family "Bacterial small subunit ribosomal RNA", at positions 524 to 776 of the family's 1533-position model. The record is from RNAcentral.